Molecule: ribosomal RNA, 1504 nt
Filed under: Klebsiella sp.
Lineage: Bacteria; Pseudomonadati; Pseudomonadota; Gammaproteobacteria; Enterobacterales; Enterobacteriaceae
Description: bacterial SSU rRNA
Rfam family: Bacterial small subunit ribosomal RNA
Source: RNAcentral
AGAGUUUGAUCCUGGCUCAGAUUGAACGCUGGCGGCAGGCCUAACACAUGCAAGUCGAGCGGUAGCACAGAGAGCUUGCUCUCGGGUGACGAGCGGCGGACGGGUGAGUAAUGUCUGGGAAACUGCCUGAUGGAGGGGGAUAACUACUGGAAACGGUAGCUAAUACCGCAUAACGUCGCAAGACCAAAGUGGGGGACCUUCGGGCCUCAUGCCAUCAGAUGUGCCCAGAUGGGAUUAGCUAGUAGGUGGGGUAACGGCUCACCUAGGCGACGAUCCCUAGCUGGUCUGAGAGGAUGACCAGCCACACUGGAACUGAGACACGGUCCAGACUCCUACGGGAGGCAGCAGUGGGGAAUAUUGCACAAUGGGCGCAAGCCUGAUGCAGCCAUGCCGCGUGUGUGAAGAAGGCCUUCGGGUUGUAAAGCACUUUCAGCGGGGAGGAAGGCGGUGAGGUUAAUAACCUCAUCGAUUGACGUUACCCGCAGAAGAAGCACCGGCUAACUCCGUGCCAGCAGCCGCGGUAAUACGGAGGGUGCAAGCGUUAAUCGGAAUUACUGGGCGUAAAGCGCACGCAGGCGGUCUGUCAAGUCGGAUGUGAAAUCCCCGGGCUCAACCUGGGAACUGCAUUCGAAACUGGCAGGCUAGAGUCUUGUAGAGGGGGGUAGAAUUCCAGGUGUAGCGGUGAAAUGCGUAGAGAUCUGGAGGAAUACCGGUGGCGAAGGCGGCCCCCUGGACAAAGACUGACGCUCAGGUGCGAAAGCGUGGGGAGCAAACAGGAUUAGAUACCCUGGUAGUCCACGCUGUAAACGAUGUCGAUUUGGAGGUUGUGCCCUUGAGGCGUGGCUUCCGGAGCUAACGCGUUAAAUCGACCGCCUGGGGAGUACGGCCGCAAGGUUAAAACUCAAAUGAAUUGACGGGGGCCCGCACAAGCGGUGGAGCAUGUGGUUUAAUUCGAUGCAACGCGAAGAACCUUACCUGGUCUUGACAUCCACAGAACUUACCAGAGAUGGUUUGGUGCCUUCGGGAACUGUGAGACAGGUGCUGCAUGGCUGUCGUCAGCUCGUGUUGUGAAAUGUUGGGUUAAGUCCCGCAACGAGCGCAACCCUUAUCCUUUGUUGCCAGCGGUUAGGCCGGGAACUCAAAGGAGACUGCCAGUGAUAAACUGGAGGAAGGUGGGGAUGACGUCAAGUCAUCAUGGCCCUUACGACCAGGGCUACACACGUGCUACAAUGGCAUAUACAAAGAGAAGCGACCUCGCGAGAGCAAGCGGACCUCAUAAAGUAUGUCGUAGUCCGGAUUGGAGUCUGCAACUCGACUCCAUGAAGUCGGAAUCGCUAGUAAUCGUAGAUCAGAAUGCUACGGUGAAUACGUUCCCGGGCCUUGUACACACCGCCCGUCACACCAUGGGAGUGGGUUGCAAAAGAAGUAGGUAGCUUAACCUUCGGGAGGGCGCUUACCACUUUGUGAUUCAUGACUGGGGUGAAGUCGUAACAAGGUACCCGGG